UAGCGCUCGCUACCGCCGCCGUCGCCGCCGCGGUCGACCACGACCCCGCGCCGGCGCCUCAUCCCGCACCUCGACUGCACCCUCGCUUCUACCCCUUCCGUUGGAUAGGAACGGAUCCGCCCGACUACCCCGCGCUGCCUCCCGCCACAGGUGAGUGUGCCCUCCACCACGCUUCUCCCUCCCUCGCUGUCGAUCUGCCCCGGGCGAUGCAGUGCGCGGCCGCGGCAGCAUCUCCAACCUACUAGGCAGUAGACUAGUACCUCCACUGCUAAUUCCCUCGUUCGGCCGGGCUGAUGGAUUUGUUAAUCCUCCCGAGGCGGAAGCAAUCUGCUGCUAGCUGCUUUAAAAGCAAGGCACAUAUGGCGGUGCGCGGCCUAAAAUCUGAGACGAUCUGCAAGGGCCAAGGAAAGAUUUUCCUUGCAGUAGUUCCUCAGUCGAAGCACCGGCAAAGAUGAGCAUCUUGAUCUGCGACUUGGAAACUAGAAACAUUUGUUUGGCAACUGCAAAUCAUUGGUGUAACUAAAGAAUGCCUUACUGCAGAUCUUGUAAUCUUUAGUGGCCAUCUUAGUUCACCCUUUUUUAUUAUUGAUGAUUGAUGUACUAAUCCUAGUUUGAUUGAUGAUAGAACGAUGCAGUUGUGAUUUUUGUUUUCACUCAGUAUUUUAAUUUAUUUUCUAUCAAAUGUAAUCGAUACUCAUUGGGGAUU
Long non-coding RNA from Panicum virgatum (switchgrass), 706 nucleotides. RefSeq lists it as uncharacterized. The transcript is spliced from 2 exons. NCBI's taxonomy places the organism in Eukaryota, Viridiplantae, Streptophyta, Magnoliopsida, Poales, Poaceae. The record is from RefSeq and is a predicted model, not a curated record.